UGAAGCUGCACGACUUCUCCUCUCC
Molecule: non-coding RNA, 25 nt
Filed under: Mus musculus (house mouse)
Lineage: Eukaryota; Metazoa; Chordata; Mammalia; Rodentia; Muridae
Source: RNAcentral